Molecule: RNA transcript, 1278 nt
Organism: Acanthopagrus latus (yellowfin seabream)
Lineage: Eukaryota; Metazoa; Chordata; Actinopteri; Spariformes; Sparidae
Exons: 6
Source: RefSeq, a predicted model, not a curated record
CUUCCUCUGCUCAGCGCCUCCUCCUCCAAUACAUUUAAAGCUGAGGUUGAAGUUCCAGUCUGACAUUCUCUGUCUGAUGGUCAACAUGAUAAACCUGAACCAAGCAGCUCUGCCCGCCAUUCAGCUAGUGUUUAUGUAUCAAGCCUUUGCAGGUCAUUGUCUCGUGCACCACUGGGAUAUUCUGGUGUCCAGAGGAGAAUCUGUCACACUGACUUGCAACACAUCCGAGGAAAAGAUCACACAAGUCCACUGGACCAACGACAGAUUUAGUUUUAUUCAUUCAAUUCAACUUAAUAAGACUUUUUCGAAUCUAACCUCUCACAGACUGACAAUAGACGGAAACUUAUCUUUAAAUCUGAAUGUUUUUAAUGCUACACAUGAAGACUCAGGACUCUAUACAUGUACAGUAAGUGGUGGUCGUGGCACAUGGACAAUGGAGUGGAAUAUGACAGUGUCUGGUAAGCAAGGAGACAGUUCAUCAUGGGCUCAUCUAUACAUACUCACAUAUGUGAUUGGACUUCUUCUCUGUGUCGUCCCUACAGCUGUCUGUCUCUGCAGGAAACUCAGGACACGAAACCAGAGCAGCUCAGUCCAGGACCAGACUGAACUUGAGUCAGCAGAAGAGGUUGGCCUAGACAGAAGGACACAUAACGAGCACAGGAGUCAGUACAUCGAGAGGCUCAACUCCGUCUACGGUGAAAUCUGAGUUGACACGCUUUACAAAUGACAGUCAAACAAGACACAUGGGCCGAGUAUACAAGAGAAAGAUGACAUUUGACAGGACUUACAUUUUUCAUUUUGGAGCCAGGCGCUUCGAGGAGGACAACUGGGUCACUGACGUCUUCGUUUGUCUAAAAGAAAUGCAUUAAAAGAGGUCAUUGUUUCGUUGAUCACUGGGAUAUUCUGGUGUUCAGGGGAGAAUCUGUCACGCUAACUUGCAACACAUCCCAGGAAAAGAUCACACAAGUCCACUGGACCAACGACAGAUUUAGUUUUAUUCAUUCAGUUCUACUUAAUAAGACUUUUUUGAAUCCACAUCUUAUUUUAUGCAGGUGUCAGUUCACCGUGGGAGUUCUGUACAUACUCAGACAUGUGAUUGGACUUCUUCUCUUUGUCAUCGCUCUGGAACACUUAACAUCUUGACUUCCUCCUCCCUUCACCACUUAUCGUCAUUGCGAAACUGUCAUGUGAACUGGCUGUAUUUUUAAACAUUUCUACAUUUACUAAACAUAUUUCACACUAUUUAUUUAUCUGAUAUUAAACUGUAAUAUUGUUAAU